GGAGGAGGGACCCGGCGUCGCGGCGUGGGUCGGGAGCGGGCGCCUGGGACUACUUCUCGUUUGAAAGUUUUCAAAGGCCAAAAGUUUGAGCCGGUGCUGCGGAUGGAUCCGGCUCUGGCAGUUGCCGCGCUCGGCGACAAUUGGCGACGUAAAUUUGCAUAAGAGAGUGGCCCAUUCGAUGUCCACCCAUCAGGCCACCCAGUAGCCAAGCAGGCUCAUAAGCGCACGUUACAGAUGGUGCGGCCGGGCGCACAGGCCCGAGGGAAGCACAGGCCUCGGCCUCCCAUUUCCCAACCCCUGCACCACCCGCAGCUGGGAGUACCCCAUGGACAGCUGUGGCCAAGGAGAAGCCAGGGAUGAGGGGGAUGGGUCUUACCUCCCCACCAGCCUAGGAAGGGGGUGGGCCCCUGGCAAGCAGGAGGGAAGCUGAGGCUCAGAGACAUCAUGAGGAUGCCAGCUCAAGGCCCAGCCAGGCCUUGGUCCUCAGCUGCUGUCAUCCAGUAGGGUAAGUGGGACCCCCAGGAGGUGUUGGGGGACACUCCUCCCCUCCCCCACACUCACGGUCUGUUCACUGCACAAGGCAGCAGGCUGGACUCGGUGCAGGGACCAUGGCUUGGCGUGGCCAGGUUGGAGUGGCCCCUGGGACUGAAAGCAGGGGGACUGGGGGCUCUGAAGCCGGGCUGAGUGUGGGGACGUCCUGUGGCGGGUACCUUGCCGGGUCCUGUGUGGGGGCCAC
This 736-nucleotide non-coding RNA is filed under the name Pongo abelii (Sumatran orangutan). The record is from RNAcentral. Lineage: Eukaryota; Metazoa; Chordata; Mammalia; Primates; Hominidae.